AUGGCUGAUAAGAAGAAGAGGUUGACCGCAAGUGAAGCCCUUGCUCUUCUUUUUGAUUCAUUUACAUCUGGAAAGGAAGUUGAUGUGAACUUAGAGGAGUUGGUGGAUAUAGAUGAGGGAGAAGGAGGAAAUUAUGUUGAUAUGGGGCAACAGACUGAUAAGCAGCCAGAGGAAGGAGAGGAAGAUGAAGGAGAGGAAAAGAAAGGGGAAGGAGAGGAAGAUGAAGGAGAAGAAAAGGAAGGGGAAGGAGAGGAAAAGGAAGGAGAAGGAGAGGAAGAUGAAGGAGAGGAAAAGAAAGGGGAAGGAGACGAAGAUGAAGGAGAAGAAAAGGAAGGGGAAGGAGAGGAAAAGGAAGGAGAAGGAGAGGAAGAUGAAGGAGAGGAAAAGAAAGGGGAAGGAGACGAAGAUGAAGGGGAGGAAGAGGAAGGAGGGGAGGUGGAAGCAGAGGAAGAGGAAGCCAGUCCAACCCCCAGCACUUCUACUGUUCGUCACAAGCGUCCACUGCCCCAUACGUGGAAGAAAAAUGUCAUCAAAGAAAAGCGUCUGAAGGGAGAGAAUUACAAGAAUACAAUGGGACAGGAGAGACCACCAAAGGCCAUGGGCCCACCAUGCACAUCACAGCACUGCUUCAAGUCAACGACAAGAAGUUGUGAGCUACUGACUGAAGUUGAGAGAAGAGGAAUCUUCAACAAUUUCUGGUCCAUGCCUUCCUGGGAGACACGCAAGGUGUAUAUCCAGACUGUUGUUGAAAAUGUGCCCAUAAAACAGAAGAAAGGUGGUGUUGAUUCAAGGAGAACAACAUCUCUGCUAUACCACCUGCAACUCUCAGAUAGAUGCAAAAUACCUGUGUGCAAAAAUCUUUUCUGUUCCACACUUGGUAUUGCCCUGAGAACCAUUGGAUCAUGGUUAACUGCAGGCAUGAAACCCAACACUCAUACCCAGCCCAACCCCAAGAUCAACAAGACUGGUCCUCAUAUGCCAAUAUCAGAUGGAGACCAGGCCUUCCUGAAAGAGUGGCUCUCUGGAAUACCUACAGUCCCAUCCCAUUACUGCCGCCAGGUUCCCUCUUAUCAGAACAAGAAGUUCCUGGAGCCAGGAACAGUUUUGAGAGAGCUUCACAAGGAAUACCAGAAUGCUGCCAAUGAGAAUGGAAAGCGUGCUGUGAGUGAGACAUACUUUCGGAAGGUUUUUGGAGAGCAGGAUUACUCUGUGUUCAUUCCAAAAAAAGACCAAUGUGACAUCUGUGUAAGCGCCAAGGUAGGAAAUACAGAUGAGGAUGCUCUUGCUACACACUUGAGAUUGAAGAGUCAGGCUCAAGCUGAAAAGGCUGCAGACAAAAAUGAAUCCAGUGACACACUUUCAGUGUGGACAAUGGACCUUCAACGCGUUCUUCUUUGCCCCCAGACAAAAGCAAGUACAAUGUACUACAAAACUAAAUUACAGAUGCACAACUUUACCUGCUUCAACAUGAACAACAGAGAUGGGUACUGUUAUGCUUGGGAAGAACAUGAAGGCUCCCUCAGCAGUGAGGUUUUUGCACAUCUGCAGUCCAACCACUUUGAGUCUGUCCUACAGGCCAACAGAAACAUUGAGAAAGUCAUUGUCUGGAGUGAUGGCUGCGGGUAUCAGAACCGGUGUGCUACCAUCAGCAACGCCUACCUUUACCUGGCCAUGAAGCAUGGUGUCAGCAUUGAGCAGAAAUUUCUAGUUGCAGGCCACACACAGAUGGAGUGUGACUCCAUGCACAGUCUAAUUGAACGGCGCAUUGUGCAAGACGUUUACACUCCACGAGAUUACGUUGUCAUCUUUGAGGCUGCACGCAUUAAUCCAUCCCCAUACAGGGUGACUCAACUAUACCACAAUGACUUCAUGAAGUUAUCUGGCACCUAUGUCACCAAUAUUCGACCCGGCAAAAAAGUUGGGGACCCCACAGUCCAUGACCUCCGGGCUUUGCAGUACUUGACUGAUGGACGGAUCAGGUACAAGCUGGAUUUUGAAUCUGACUGGGAAGACCUGCCUCGGCGCAUCAGCAUACCCGACAACAAGCCAUUCAAGUGGAUCCCACUCUUUCCUGCUCAGUUGCCCAUCACCCUGAGGAAAUACAGUGACUUACAGUCAAUGAAAAAUGUACUACCAAGAGUGGCCCACAAGUACUAUGAUGAUCUUCCUCAUCAGUAG
Long non-coding RNA from Oreochromis niloticus (Nile tilapia), 2178 nucleotides. The record is from Ensembl. Lineage: Eukaryota; Metazoa; Chordata; Actinopteri; Cichliformes; Cichlidae.